AGAGUUUGAUCAUGGCUCAGGAUGAACGCUAGCGGCAGGCUUAAUACAUGCAAGUCGUGGGGCAGCAUGAGUGUAGCAAUACAUUUGAUGGCGACCGGCAAACGGGUGCGGAACACGUACGCAACCUUCCUUUAAGUGGGGAAUAGCCCGGGGAAACCCGGAUUAAUACCCCGUAAUAUUAUGAGGUGGCAUCAUCUUAUAAUUAUAGCUCCGGCGCUUAGAGAUGGGCGUGCGUCUGAUUAGGUAGUUGGCGGGGUAACGGCCCACCAAGCCUACGAUCAGUAACUGGUGUGAGAGCACGACCAGUCACACGGGCACUGAGACACGGGCCCGACUCCUACGGGAGGCAGCAGUAAGGAAUAUUGGUCAAUGGACGCAAGUCUGAACCAGCCAUGCCGCGUGGAGGAUGAAGGUCCUCUGGAUUGUAAACUUCUUUUAUCUGGGAAGAAACCCAUGGUUUCUACUAUGGUUGACGGUACCAGAUGAAUAAGCACCGGCUAACUCCGUGCCAGCAGCCGCGGUAAUACGGAGGGUGCAAGCGUUAUCCGGAUUCACUGGGUUUAAAGGGUGCGUAGGUGGGCAGGUAAGUCAGUGGUGAAAUCUCCGGGCUUAACCCGGAAACUGCCGUUGAUACUAUCUGUCUUGAAUAUCGUGGAGAUGAGCGGAAUAUGUCAUGUAGCGGUGAAAUGCUUAGAUAUGACAUAGAACACCGAUUGCGAAGGCAGCUCGUUACACGGUUAUUGACACUGAGGCACGAAAGCGUGGGGAUCAAACAGGAUUAGAUACCCUAGUAGUCC
This 797-nucleotide ribosomal RNA is filed under the name uncultured bacterium. RNAcentral describes it as "bacterial SSU rRNA". It matches the Rfam family "Bacterial small subunit ribosomal RNA", at positions 8 to 796 of the family's 1533-position model. The record is from RNAcentral.